RNAcentral lists this ribosomal RNA (347 nucleotides) under Giardia duodenalis. RNAcentral describes it as "SSU rRNA". The stretch from base 1 to 205 matches the Rfam family "Eukaryotic small subunit ribosomal RNA", at positions 364 to 600 of the family's 1831-position model. Lineage: Eukaryota; Fornicata; Diplomonadida; Hexamitidae. The record is from RNAcentral.
GGAGAAUCAGGGUUCGACUCCGGAGAGCGGGCCUGCGAGACGGCCAGCACAUCCAAGGACGGCAGCAGGCGCGGAACUUGCCCAAUGCGCUGCGCGCGAGGCAGCGACGGGGAGCGCGCGAGCGAGGCGGGCCGACAGCCCCCGCCGCGGAGCCGAGGGCAAGGUCUGGUGCCAGCAGCUGCGGUAAUUCCAGCUCGGCGAGCGUCGGGCGGCGCUGCUGCAGUUGAAACGCCCGUAGUUGGCCCCCCGCCGCCACGAGGAAACGGGAGCGCUCCAGGCAGGCCCGUUGGACCCGCCGCGUGGGACCGCGCAGCGGGCGAGGCGCGCCGCGGCAGCCCCGAGGAGAG